GCCUCGGUGGCUUAGUGGUCAGGACACCUGACUGCCAAUCCACAAAUCCCGGGUUGGAAUCCCGGUUGAGGCA
RNAcentral lists this transfer RNA (73 nucleotides) under Trialeurodes vaporariorum (greenhouse whitefly). Its description in RNAcentral is "tRNA-Gly for anticodon GCC". It matches the Rfam family "tRNA". From Rfam's summary of the family: Transfer RNA (tRNA) molecules are approximately 80 nucleotides in length. Their secondary structure includes four short double-helical elements and three loops (D, anti-codon, and T loops). Lineage: Eukaryota; Metazoa; Arthropoda; Insecta; Hemiptera; Aleyrodidae. The record is from RNAcentral.